UUAACAUACUUCUUUAAUCAUUUCAAUCUUGUACAAGUUAAUGUAAAUUUCUGAAAGCAAAAGGUGGUAUCGCAUGCAUUCUGCCAGAAGGUGGAGCUCCAGGAACCAUCCUAGUUCAGUCUCAGUUCAGUUGUUUAAAAACAGAGCAGACAUACAUUGAGUCAGUCAUACUCAGAGAGAGAACUGUAAGUCUUGACUCUCAAAGUCAUUGUCUCUCAUUAGUGCAGAUGUUGCCCCUCGUAUUCAUUAUAUUUUCUCUCCUAAAAGAGACUGCUGGUGAAGAUGUCAUAAAACCAGUCUCCACACAGAAGCAGGUUUUGGAAGGAAAAGAUGUUACACUGAUCUGCAACUACACCGAAGCUGUUCAAAAUUUACAAUGGUAUCGUCAGUAUCCCGGAUCCAAACCUGAGCACCUCAUCACGUUCUUUGAGACCACACAGAGCACGACAGAGGACGCUCUCCGUCUGACCGCUGCGGCUGAUAAAGCAGCUAAAAGUAUGACUCUGACGAUCUCUUCUACAGAAGUGAAAGACUCUGCCAUGUACUACUGUGCCCUGGUGCCCACAGUGACAGGAAACACAACUACACUGUACAAAAACAGAAUCCUGAUAGAAGUCUCAACUCAAAAGAAACAGAAGCAUGUUACUCAUCUCAUCCGUUUUCAUUUUAAUCCUCAGUUACUGUGAAUCUAAUGGAAAUGUCAUCAGACCAAACCAGCCGUCUGUAGUUUUAACUGAAGGAAGCAGCACCACUCUGUCCUGUUCAUAUGAUCGAUCAGCUUACAGUCUUCACUGGUAUCGACAGAAGCCUGGAUCAAAACCAGAGUUUCUGCAGCUGAUUGUUGAGUCUUCCAAGUAUGUCAACAAAGCUGACCAACCUCAUCCACAUAUGUCCAUCAGACUCCAUGAUAAUAAAAGUGUGGAUCUGGAGAUCUCCUCUGCUGGUGUAUCAGACUCUGCAGUGUAUUACUGUGCUCUGGAGCCCACAGUGACAGGAAACCCCUCUACACUGUACAAAAACCUUCUUGUUAUCUGCCUGAUGAACAAUCAUAUUUCUCUACCAUGAUCUCUGUGAUAUUCCAUUUUGCUGAUGAUCUGAAUAUGGCAUUUAA
Molecule: long non-coding RNA, 1111 nt
Organism: Cyprinus carpio carpio
Lineage: Eukaryota; Metazoa; Chordata; Actinopteri; Cypriniformes; Cyprinidae
Source: Ensembl